GUCAAGUAAGAAUACCCGCUGAACUUAAGCAUAUCAAUAAGCGGAGGAAAAGAAACUAACUAGGAUUCCCUUAGUAACGGCGAGCGAACUGGGAAGAGCUCAAAUUUUAAAUCACUUUGGUGAAUUGUAAUUUGAAGAAAGUGUUUUGACUUUUCAGUUUAAUCUAAAUCCUUUGGGAUGAGGUAUCAUAGAGGGUGAGAAUCCCGUUCGUGAUUAAACCUCGGAUUGCACUAAUUCACUUUCUAAGAGUCGAGUUGUUUGGGAUUGCAGCUCUAAAUGGGUGGUAAAUUUCACCUAAGGCUAAAUAUAUGCAAGAGACCGAUAGCGAACAAGUACCGUGAGGGAAAGAUGAAAAGAACUUUGAAAAGAGAGUUAAACAGUACGUGAAAUUGUUGAAAGGGAAACGAUUGAAGUCAGUCAUGCUAGUGAGGAAUCAACUUGGUGGUUUACUUCCUUGUGUAUUUUCUUACUUGGCAGGUUAGCAUCAAUUUUGGUUGUCAUCAAAUAAUUGGGGGAAUGUGGCUUUUCUUCGGGAAAGUGUUAUAGACCUUGAUAGAUGUGGCGACUGAGAUUGAGGUUUGCAGCGGAUGCCUUUGGCUAGUCAUCUGUCUUCUGACCGUCACCUCGCUUUUGACAGCUUGCUGAUGAUUGCGGGAUUUGGUGGCCUAGAAGUUAGAAUGUACAUAAAUUCGCUAAGGGUGCUGACGUAAUGGCUUUAAACGACCCGUCUUGAAACACGGACCAAGGAGUCUAACAUAUAUGCGAGUGUU
Molecule: ribosomal RNA, 770 nt
Filed under: uncultured Acaulosporaceae
Lineage: Eukaryota; Fungi; Glomeromycota; Glomeromycetes; Diversisporales; Acaulosporaceae
Description: eukaryotic LSU rRNA
Rfam family: Eukaryotic large subunit ribosomal RNA
Source: RNAcentral